RNAcentral lists this long non-coding RNA (365 nucleotides) under Pogona vitticeps (central bearded dragon). RNAcentral describes it as "lncRNA (ENSPVIG00000014458.1)". Lineage: Eukaryota; Metazoa; Chordata; Lepidosauria; Squamata; Agamidae. The record is from RNAcentral.
GAGAAGGCGAAGAUUAUGAUUAUGUGGGCAACCUUCCCAAGAGCAGCUAUGUCAACAGUUGCAAGAAUGAUGGUUUCACAAAGAAAGGAAUGUCUUCUUAACCCUGGUCAAGAAAGAAUUCAGCUUUCUUCUACUGGAUUAUGCAUUGCAGUGUAAAAUUGCUGGUCCUGAUCUGUUGGCUUUAAAACAGGUGUGACGAUAAAUCAGCGGAGGCGGAGAGAAGAAGGCUGUCCCGGGGAAAUGCAUUCGGAAGCAGUGAAGUCAUGCAUGCUCUGUGAAAGUGGAGACGCCCCUGGUCUUUCUGCAGCCUGAGAAAUGGCAUCGCCCCUCUUUCCUUGGCACCAGAGGCUAUCCAUGAUGAUGUU